This 443-nucleotide ribosomal RNA is filed under the name bacterium AV-Se-19. Its description in RNAcentral is "bacterial SSU rRNA". It matches the Rfam family "Bacterial small subunit ribosomal RNA", at positions 313 to 750 of the family's 1533-position model. The record is from RNAcentral.
UGGAGACUGAGACACGGCCCAGCUCCUACGGGAGGCAUCAGUGGGGAAUAUUGCACAAUGGGCGCAAGCCUGAUGCAGCCAUGCAGCGUGUGUGAAGAAGGCCUUCGGGUUGUAAAGCGCUUUCAGUCAGGAGGAAAGGUUAGUAGUUAAUACCUGCUAGUUGUGACGUUACUGACAGAAGAAGCACCGGCUAACUCCGUGCCAGCAGCCGCGGUAAUACGGAGGGUGCGAGCGUUAAUCGGAAUUACUGGGCGUAAAGCGUACGCAGGCGGUUUGUUAAGCGAGAUGUGAAAUCCCCGGGCUCAACCUGGGAACUGCAUUUCGAACUGGCAAACUUGAAUGGGAUAGAGGGUGGUAGAAUUUCAGGUGUAGCGGUGAAAUGCGUUAUAUCUGAAGGAAUACCGAUGGCGAAGGCAGCCACCUGGGUCAACACUGACGCUCAG